GUGGGGAAUUUUGGACAAUGGGGGAAACCCUGAUCCAGCGACGCCGCGUGAAGGAUGAAGGCCUUCGGGUUGUAAACUUCUUUUGGAGGGGACGAAUAAAUUGACGGUACCCUCAGAAAAAGCCACGGCUAACUACGUGCCAGCAGCCGCGGUAAUACGUAGGUGGCGAGCGUUACUCGGAGUUACUAGGCGUAAAGCGUAUGUAGGCGGUUGUAUAAGUCUAUGGUGAAAUUUCCUGGCUCAACUGGGAAGGGAAAUAGAUAAUGUAUGGGUGGAGUGUUGGAGGGGGAGACGGAAUUCCUGGUGUAGCGGUGAAAUGCGUAGAUAUCAGGAGGAACACCGAUGGCGAAAGCAGUCUCCUGGCCAAAUACUGACGCUGAGGUACGAAAGCUAGAGUAGCAAACAGGAUUAGAAACCCUUGUAGUCC
RNAcentral lists this ribosomal RNA (427 nucleotides) under uncultured bacterium. Its description in RNAcentral is "partial 16S ribosomal RNA". It matches the Rfam family "Bacterial small subunit ribosomal RNA", at positions 354 to 796 of the family's 1533-position model. The record is from RNAcentral.